RNAcentral lists this signal recognition particle RNA (264 nucleotides) under Bacillota bacterium. Its description in RNAcentral is "Firmicutes bacterium (anaerobic digester metagenome) signal recognition particle sRNA large type". It matches the Rfam family "Bacterial large signal recognition particle RNA". Rfam says of the family: The signal recognition particle (SRP) is a universally conserved ribonucleoprotein involved in the co-translational targeting of proteins to membranes. Archaeal SRP consists of a 7S RNA and homologues of the eukaryotic SRP19 and SRP54 proteins. Lineage: Bacteria; Bacillati; Bacillota. The record is from RNAcentral.
CCGUGCUAGACGGGGAGGUAGCGGUGCCCUGUAACCUGCAACCCGCUAUAGCAGGGUUGAAUUCCGGUUUGAGGCUUUUCUUCUUGGAACCGGCUUUGGUAAGUAGUGUUGAGGGCCGGGUCUUGCGCAACGGAAACGGGUGAACCCCGCCAGGUCCGGAAGGAAGCAACGGUAAACCCGCCCUUUCGUGUGCCGCAAGGCAACCUGGCUGGAGCUGGCUGCCAAAGUACGUCUGGGAAGGAAUUGUCGGGAACCGGUGCACGG